Molecule: ribosomal RNA, 513 nt
Filed under: uncultured bacterium
Lineage: Bacteria
Description: bacterial SSU rRNA
Rfam family: Bacterial small subunit ribosomal RNA
Source: RNAcentral
AACGCUGGCGGCGUGCUUAACACAUGCAAGUCAACGGGCAAUUGAAAGCUUGCUUUGAGAGCCUAGUGGCAAACGGGUGAGUAACGCGUAGGAAACCUGCCUCUAAGACUGGGGACAACAGCCCGAAAGGGCUGCUAAUACCGAAUGUUGCCGGAAGUGCGCACUGCACUACCGGCCAAAGAUGGCCUCUGCAAAUGCUAUCGCUUAGAGAUGGUCCUGCGUCUGAUUAGCUGGUUGGCGGGGUAACGGCCACCAAGGCGACGAGUCAGUAGCCGGUCUGAGAGGAUGAACGGCCACAUUGGGACUGAGACACGGCCCAGACUCCUACGGGAGGCAGCAGUGGGGAAUCUUCCGCAAUGGGCGCAAGCCUGACGGAGCAACGCCGCGUGAAGUGAAGAAGGUCUUCGGAUCGUAAAGCUCUGUCGAAGGGGACGAACGUAGCCUUUACCAACAACGGAGGCUAAUGACGGUACCUUUCAAGAAAGCCACGGCUAACUACGUGCCAGCAGCUGC